GUGGGGAAUAUUGGGCAAUGGGGGCAACCCUGACCCAGCGACGCCGCGUGAGGGAAGAAGGCCUUAGGGUCGUAAACCUCUGUUGUGUGGGAAGAAGGAAGUGACGGUACCACACGAGGAAGUCCCGGCUAACUACGUGCCAGCAGCCGCGGUAAUACGUAGGGGACGAGCGUGGUCCGGAAUUACUGGGCGUAAAGGGCGCGUAGGCGGUCAUUUAAGUCAGCUGUGAAAUGGUCCGGCUCAACCGGAUCAUGCGGUUGAAACUGGAUGACUGGAGUGCUGGAGAGGCAAGUGGAAUGCCCAGUGUAGCGGUGAAAUGCGUAGAUAUUGGGAAGAACACCGGUGGCGAAGGCGACUUGCUGGCCAGCAACUGACGCUGAGGCGCGAAAGCCAGGGGAGCAAACGGGAUUAGAUACCCUGGUAGUCC
RNAcentral lists this ribosomal RNA (427 nucleotides) under uncultured bacterium. Its description in RNAcentral is "partial 16S ribosomal RNA". It matches the Rfam family "Bacterial small subunit ribosomal RNA", at positions 354 to 796 of the family's 1533-position model. The record is from RNAcentral.